RNAcentral lists this long non-coding RNA (240 nucleotides) under Zonotrichia albicollis (white-throated sparrow). Its description in RNAcentral is "lncRNA (ENSZALG00000012272.1)". The record is from RNAcentral. Lineage: Eukaryota; Metazoa; Chordata; Aves; Passeriformes; Passerellidae.
GGAAAAUAUUCCCUGAAACUACCUUUCUCUUAUAAAAUUGAAUCAAAUUAAUAAUGUAUGCAUUUAGAAGGGGCUGCAGGAUACAGAAGAGCCUCGAGGAGCUUUGCAACCAGUCCAUUACUUUUUCCUUUGUUCCCGCUGAGAUUUCUCCAUUCAUCAGAUGGGGAGACAAUCUGUGGUCCAGGAAAGGGGUCUUGUUCUUGUCUCUGCUGGCACUCUGGAUCAAAUGCUACACACUGA